UCCCUGGUGGCUCAGAGGUUAAAGCGUCUGCCUCCAAUGCGGAAGACCUGGGUUCGAUCCCUGGGUUGGGAA
This is a non-coding RNA of Bos taurus (domestic cattle), 72 nucleotides long. The record is from Rfam. NCBI's taxonomy places the organism in Eukaryota, Metazoa, Chordata, Mammalia, Artiodactyla, Bovidae.